UUUCCGUAGGUGAACCUGCGGAAGGAUCAUUAAUGUAUAACCGAGGCGCGAGCCCUGCCGCUCACCCGAUUGGUUGUGCAAGCAUCAGUGCCCUCACAAACAUCCCCCCCAGCCCCAUCUGAACCACCGUGAGGGUCCCCCUUUGGCGCGCUCGGCGGGGGGCUAACCUUUACACUCUAUCUUUGAAUGCACCGUAGUAUGUAUUCAAUGUUUUUGUGAAAACGAAACUAAUACAACCUUAAACAAUGGUUCUCUCGGCUCUCGCAUCCAUGGAGAACC
Molecule: unclassified non-coding RNA, 279 nt
Filed under: plant metagenome
Description: partial contains small subunit ribosomal RNA, internal transcribed spacer 1, and 5.8S ribosomal RNA
Source: RNAcentral